UCCUACGGGAGGCAGCAGUGAGGAAUAUUGGACAAUGGGCGAGAGCCUGAUCCAGCCAUGCCGCGUGCAGGAUGACUGCCCUAUGGGUUGUAAACUGCUUUUAUAUAGGAAGAACCCUUUCCAUGCGUGGGAAUUUGACGGUACUAUAUGAAUAAGCACCGGCUAACUCCGUGCCAGCAGCCGCGGUAAU
RNAcentral lists this ribosomal RNA (190 nucleotides) under uncultured Flavobacterium sp. RNAcentral describes it as "partial 16S ribosomal RNA". It matches the Rfam family "Bacterial small subunit ribosomal RNA", at positions 337 to 524 of the family's 1533-position model. The record is from RNAcentral. Lineage: Bacteria; Pseudomonadati; Bacteroidota; Flavobacteriia; Flavobacteriales; Flavobacteriaceae.